This is a long non-coding RNA of Papilio polytes (common Mormon), 250 nucleotides long. RefSeq lists it as uncharacterized. The transcript is spliced from 3 exons. The record is from RefSeq and is a predicted model, not a curated record. Lineage: Eukaryota; Metazoa; Arthropoda; Insecta; Lepidoptera; Papilionidae.
GUAUAAAAGCGCUUACAUGCACGAUAAAGGCAUAAUUGAAAACAGUUUUACCCAGUGCACAUCGCAGGUAGCCGAACAAACGCCGAAGACAUGUCUCGACUUACGAUUUUCUUUAUCCUUGCCGUGACGUAUGAAGUUUUUGGGGACGCUAAAGGCGCCAAAGACUCCAGCGGUGCUGCGUCCGGGGUGUACUCUAGCGUGCUCGGUGGCGGCAUCGGCGGCCUAGGUGGCGGCUUGGGCGGCCUUGGUG